Molecule: ribosomal RNA, 450 nt
Filed under: uncultured bacterium
Lineage: Bacteria
Description: partial 16S ribosomal RNA
Rfam family: Bacterial small subunit ribosomal RNA
Source: RNAcentral
AGCGAACGCUGGCGGCAGGCCUAACACAUGCAAGUCGAACGAACCUUUCGGGGUUAGUGGCGGACGGGUGAGUAACACGUGGGAACGUGCCUUUAGGUUCGGAAUAACUCAGGGAAACUUGUGCUAAUACCGAAUGUGCCCUUCGGGGGAAAGAUUUAUCGCCUUUAGAGCGGCCCGCGUCUGAUUAGCUAGUUGGUUGAGGUAAUGGCUCACCAAGGCGACGAUCAGUAGCUGGUCUGAGAGGAUGAUCAGCCACAUUGGGACUGAGACACGGCCCAAACUCCUACGGGAGGCAGCAGUGGGGAAUCUUGCGCAAUGGGCGAAAGCCUGACGCAGCCAUGCCGCGUGAAUGAUGAAGGUCUUAGGAUAGUAAAAUUCUUUCACCGGGGACGAUAAUGACGGUACCCGGAGAAGAAGCCCUGGCUAACUUCGUGCCAGCAGCCGCUGUAA